RNAcentral lists this ribosomal RNA (484 nucleotides) under uncultured bacterium. RNAcentral's name for it is "partial 16S ribosomal RNA". It matches the Rfam family "Bacterial small subunit ribosomal RNA", at positions 30 to 507 of the family's 1533-position model. The record is from RNAcentral.
AUUGAACGCUGGCGGCAGGCCUAACACAUGCAAGUCGAGCGGAUGAAGGGAGCUUGCUCCUGGAUUCAGCGGCGGACGGGUGAGUAAUGCCUAGGAAUCUGCCUGGUAGUGGGGGAUAACGUCCGGAAACGGGCGCUAAUACCGCAUACGUCCUGAGGGAGAAAGUGGGGGAUCUUCGGACCUCACGCUAUCAGAUGAGCCUAGGUCGGAUUAGCUAGUUGGUGGGGUAAAGGCCUACCAAGGCGACGAUCCGUAACUGGUCUGAGAGGAUGAUCAGUCACACUGGAACUGAGACACGGUCCAGACUCCUACGGGAGGCAGCAGUGGGGAAUAUUGGACAAGGGGCGAAAGCCUGAUCCAGACAUGCCGCGUGUGUGAAGAAGGUCUUCGGAUUGUAAAGCACUUUAAGUGGGGAGGAAGGGCAGUAAGUUAAUACCUUGCUGUUUUGACGUUACCAACAGAAUAAGAACCGGCUAACUUCGUG